Molecule: ribosomal RNA, 468 nt
Filed under: uncultured bacterium
Lineage: Bacteria
Description: bacterial SSU rRNA
Rfam family: Bacterial small subunit ribosomal RNA
Source: RNAcentral
GAUGAACGCUGGCGGCGUGCUUAACACAUGCAAGUCGAACGGGAAAUAUUUCAUUGAGACUUCGGUGGAUUUGAUCUAUUUCUAGUGGCGGACGGGUGAGUAACGCGUGGGUAACCUGCCUUAUACAGGGGGAUAACAGUCAGAAAUGGCUGCUAAUACCGCAUAAGCGCACAGAGCUGCAUGGCUCAGUGUGAAAAACUCCGGUGGUAUAAGAUGGACCCGCGUUGGAUUAGCUAGUUGGUGGGGUAACGGCCCACCAAGGCGACGAUCCAUAGCCGGCCUGAGAGGGUGAACGGCCACAUUGGGACUGAGACACGGCCCAGACUCCUACGGGAGGCAGCAGUGGGGAAUAUUGCACAAUGGGGGAAACCCUGAUGCAGCGACGCCGCGUGAAGGAAGAAGUAUCUCGGUAUGUAAACUUCUAUCAGCAGGGAAGAUAGUGACGGUACCUGACUAAGAAGCCCCGGC